UGGGGAAUAUUGGACAAUGGGGGCAACCCUGAUCCAGCAAUGCCGCGUGUGUGAAGAAGGUCUUCGGAUUGUAAAGCACUUUCGACGGGGACGAUGAUGACGGUACCCGUAGAAGAAGCCCCGGCUAACUUCGUGCCAGCAGCCGCGGUAAUACGAAGGGGGCUAGCGUUGCUCGGAAUGACUGGGCGUAAAGGGCGUGUAGGCGGUUUACACAGUCAGAUGUGAAAUCCCCGGGCUUAACCUGGGAGCUGCAUUUGAUACGUGUAGACUAGAGUGUGAGAGAGGGUUGUGGAAUUCCCAGUGUAGAGGUGAAAUUCGUAGAUAUUGGGAAGAACACCGGUGGCGAAGGCGGCAACCUGGCUCAUGACUGACGCUGAGGCGCGAAAGCGUGGGGAGCAAACAGGAUUAGAUACCCUGGUAGUCCACGCUGUAAACGAUGUGUGCUAGAUGUUGGGUAACUUUGUUAUUCAGUGUCGCAGUUAACGCGUUAAGCACACCGCCUGGGGAGUAC
RNAcentral lists this ribosomal RNA (511 nucleotides) under uncultured bacterium. Its description in RNAcentral is "partial 16S ribosomal RNA". It matches the Rfam family "Bacterial small subunit ribosomal RNA", at positions 355 to 883 of the family's 1533-position model. The record is from RNAcentral.